RNAcentral lists this ribosomal RNA (468 nucleotides) under uncultured bacterium. RNAcentral describes it as "partial 16S ribosomal RNA". It matches the Rfam family "Bacterial small subunit ribosomal RNA", at positions 28 to 523 of the family's 1533-position model. The record is from RNAcentral.
GAUGAACGCUGGCGGCGUGCCUAACACAUGCAAGUCGAGCGAUUUACUUCGGUAAGGAGCGGCGGACGGGUGAGUAACGCGUGGGUAACCUGCCCUAUACACACGGAUAACAUACCGAAAGGUAUGCUAAUACGAGAUAAUAUAAGAGAUUCACAUGGAUUUCUUAUCAAAGCUGAGGCGGUAUAGGAUGGACCCGCGUCUGAUUAGCUAGUUGGUAAGGUAACGGCUUACCAAGGCGACGAUCAGUAGCCGACCUGAGAGGGUGAUCGGCCACAUUGGAACUGAGACACGGUCCAAACUCCUACGGGAGGCAGCAGUGGGGAAUAUUGCACAAUGGGCGAAAGCCUGAUGCAGCAACGCCGCGUGAGUGAUGAAGGCCUUCGGGUCGUAAAACUCUGUCCUCAAGGAAGAUAAUGACGGUACUUGAGGAGGAAGCCCCGGCUAACUACGUGCCAGCCGCCGCAGUAA